CCCCAAUGCAUUACCAUUUCCGGUUUGUACUCGAAGAACAAUCUUGUUGCGUGACUCAUCUUUGACUGAGACCGGCAUUUUCCCACAACACCCUGCUCCCGACACUCACAGAUGACGAAAAUGGCGGACCACUCGUCCUCGGUGGAGAUUGUCGAAGGCUGUCGCCUGCCCGUACUUCGCAAAAACCAGGAACACGAGGACGAAUGGCGUAAGUGUUGUCAGAUGCUAAAAGCUAAGGACCCAGCCUCAGAUGGCUGUUGUUAACGGACACAAACACACAGACGGCCUCUGUUUAAAGCACCAAGCUUUACAUUCAAAGAUCAUAUUAAACUCUGCUGUACGGCAGGGUCACUAUGAUGUCCUUCAGUUGGUAGCUUUUAUUCUUAACACCCACUCUCAGCAGUCAGUUACAAUCAUAAGAAAUUAAAGCUGAAGAGAUCAA
Long non-coding RNA from Girardinichthys multiradiatus, 442 nucleotides. RefSeq lists it as uncharacterized. The transcript has 2 exons. NCBI's taxonomy places the organism in Eukaryota, Metazoa, Chordata, Actinopteri, Cyprinodontiformes, Goodeidae. The record is from RefSeq and is a predicted model, not a curated record.